This 893-nucleotide ribosomal RNA is filed under the name Pseudothielavia terricola. RNAcentral describes it as "partial large subunit ribosomal RNA". It matches the Rfam family "Eukaryotic large subunit ribosomal RNA", at positions 38 to 965 of the family's 3401-position model. Lineage: Eukaryota; Fungi; Ascomycota; Sordariomycetes; Sordariales; Chaetomiaceae. The record is from RNAcentral.
GCAUAUCAAUAAGCGGAGGAAAAGAAACCAACAGGGAUUGCCCUAGUAACGGCGAGUGAAGCGGCAACAGCUCAAAUUUGAAAUCUGGCUUCGGCCCGAGUUGUAAUUUGCAGAGGAAGCUUUAGGCGCGGCACCUCCUGAGUCCCCUGGAACGGGGCGCCACAGAGGGUGAGAGCCCCGUAUAGUUGGAUGCCUAGCCUGUGUAAAGCUCCUUCGACGAGUCGAGUAGUUUGGGAAUGCUGCUCAAAAUGGGAGGUAAAUUUCUUCUAAAGCUAAAUACCGGCCAGAGACCGAUAGCGCACAAGUAGAGUGAUCGAAAGAUGAAAAGCACUUUGAAAAGAGGGUUAAAUAGCACGUGAAAUUGUUGAAAGGGAAGCGCUUGUGACCAGACUUGCGCCGGGCUGAUCAUCCGGUGUUCUCACCGGUGCACUCUGCCCGGCUCAGGCCAGCAUCGGUUCUCGCGGGGGGAUAAAGGCCCUGGGAACGUAGCUCCUCCGGGAGUGUUAUAGCCCGGGGCGCAAUGCCCUCGCGGGGACCGAGGUUCGCGCUCUGCAAGGAUGCUGGCGUAAUGGUCAUCAGCGACCCGUCUUGAAACACGGACCAAGGAGUCAAGGUUUUGCGCGAGUGUUUGGGUGUAAAACCCGCACGCGUAAUGAAAGUGAACGUAGGUGAGAGCUUCGGCGCAUCAUCGACCGAUCCUGAUGUUCUCGGAUGGAUUUGAGUAGGAGCGUUAAGCCUUGGACCCGAAAGAUGGUGAACUAUGCUUGGAUAGGGUGAAGCCAGAGGAAACUCUGGUGGAGGCUCGCAGCGGUUCUGACGUGCAAAUCGAUCGUCAAAUCUGAGCAUGGGGGCGAAAGACUAAUCGAACCAUCUAGUAGCUGGUUACCGCCGAG